Molecule: long non-coding RNA, 364 nt
Organism: Suricata suricatta (meerkat)
Lineage: Eukaryota; Metazoa; Chordata; Mammalia; Carnivora; Herpestidae
Exons: 2
Source: RefSeq, a predicted model, not a curated record
UAGGAAGUAGCAAUGAGGGGCUGUGCAAGUGUGGCGGGACAACUCCAGCUCCCUUCCAGGGCUAACCUGUUGGGGGAAUUAGCGGUCAGCUUCCAGGUGCAGCAUCUUGAGGUCUGUCUCCCCAGAUAUCAGACCUACAUCCCUGACUACUCCGGAUUCCUUUCCCUCGUUUUCCACUGGUGCCAGCGGCAAGAAAUCCUUUGAAUUCCAUGUUGGCAUCUGCUUUGGAGGGUUCAAACUGACACAGCUGCCAACCCACAUAGUGUGACAGGGCAAAUCCUACUGGCUCACUCUUUUGAAAUGUGAUGGCUUAAAAAAUGUAGCCAUAGGAGGGUGGUGGAAAUAAAUGUUUCUUUGGAUUGUC